Molecule: transfer RNA, 83 nt
Filed under: Nitrincola tibetensis
Lineage: Bacteria; Pseudomonadati; Pseudomonadota; Gammaproteobacteria; Oceanospirillales; Oceanospirillaceae
Rfam family: tRNA
About the family: Transfer RNA (tRNA) molecules are approximately 80 nucleotides in length. Their secondary structure includes four short double-helical elements and three loops (D, anti-codon, and T loops). Further hydrogen bonds mediate the characteristic L-shaped molecular structure. tRNAs have two regions of fundamental functional importance: the anti-codon, which is responsible for specific mRNA codon recognition, and the 3' end, to which the tRNAs corresponding amino acid is attached (by aminoacyl-tRNA synthetases). tRNAs cope with the degeneracy of the genetic code in two manners: having more than one tRNA (with a specific anti-codon) for a particular amino acid; and 'wobble' base-pairing, i.e. permitting non-standard base-pairing at the 3rd anti-codon position.
Source: Rfam by way of RNAcentral
GCCGACGUGGUGAAAUUGGUAGACACGCCAUCUUGAGGGGGUGGUGAGCCUAGCUCGUGCCGGUUCGAGUCCGGCCGUCGGCA